AGCAGCCGCGGUAAUUCCAGCUCCAAUAGCGUAUAUUAGUGUUGUUGCGGUUAAAAAGCUCGUAGUUGAAUUUCGGGAUUGGGAUAUAUCGGUCAUGCCUUUAGGGACAUGAAUCGGUGUGUGAUCAAUUCUCACCUUCUGGUGAAUUGGGAUGCUCUUGGGUGUUUCGAUGAACUAGGACAUUUACUUUGAAAAAAUUAGAGUGUUUAAAGCGGGCAUUUUUGCUUGAAUACAUUAGCAUGGAAUAAUAAAAUAGGACGAUGGUUCUAUUUUGUUGGUUUUAGGACCACGUAAUGAUUAAUAGGGAUAGUUGGGGGCAUUAGUAUUCAAUUGUCAGAGGUGAAAUUCUUGGAUUUAUUGAGGACUAACUACUGCGAAAGCAUUUGCCAAGGAUGUUUUCAUUAAUCAAGAACGAAAGUUAGGGGAUCAAAGACGAUUUAUGUACGUCGUAGUCUUAACCAUAAACUAUGCCGACUAGGAAUCAGACAAAGUUAAUUUUUUAACGACUUGUUUGGUACCUUACG
Molecule: ribosomal RNA, 524 nt
Filed under: uncultured Entrophosporaceae
Lineage: Eukaryota; Fungi; Glomeromycota; Glomeromycetes; Entrophosporales; Entrophosporaceae
Description: SSU rRNA
Rfam family: Eukaryotic small subunit ribosomal RNA
Source: RNAcentral